GGCCUAACACAUGCAAGUCGAGCGAGGACUUCGGUUCUAGCGGCGGACGGGUGAGUAACGCGUGGGAACGUGCCCCUUGGUACGGAACAGCCCCGGGAAACUGGGAGUGAUACCGUAUGAGCCCUACGGGGGAAAGAUUUAUCGCCAAGGGAUCGGCCCGCGUUGGAUUAGGUAGUUGGUGGGGUAAAGGCCUACCAAGCCGACGAUCCAUAGCUGGUUUGAGAGGAUGAUCAGCCACACUGGGACUGAGACACGGCCCAGACUCCUACGGGAGGCAGCAGUGGGGAAUCUUAGACAAUGGGCGCAAGCCUGAUCUAGCCAUGCCGCGUGAGUGAUGAAGGCCCUAGGGUUGUAAAGCUCUUUCGUGGGGGAAGAUAAUGACUGUACCCCAAGAAGAAGCCCCGGCUAACUCCGUGCCAGCAGCCGCGGUUAA
This 433-nucleotide ribosomal RNA is filed under the name uncultured bacterium. RNAcentral's name for it is "bacterial SSU rRNA". It matches the Rfam family "Bacterial small subunit ribosomal RNA", at positions 45 to 524 of the family's 1533-position model. The record is from RNAcentral.